AGAGUGAACGCUGGCGGUAGGCCUAACACAUGCAAGUCGAACGGCAGCACAGUAGGAGCUUGCUCUUACGGGUGGCGAGCGGCGGACGGGUGAGGAAUACAUCGGAAUCUACCUUUUGGUGGGGGAUAACGUAGGGAAACUUACGCUAAUACCGCAUACGCCCUUCGGGGGAAAGCCGGGGACCAGCAAUGGCCUGGUGCUGAUAGAUGAGCCGAUGUCGGAUUAGCUAGUUGGUGAGGUAAUGGCUCACCAAGGCGACGAUCCGUAGCUGGUCUGAGAGGAUGAUCAGCC
This 291-nucleotide ribosomal RNA is filed under the name uncultured soil bacterium. RNAcentral's name for it is "partial 16S ribosomal RNA". It matches the Rfam family "Bacterial small subunit ribosomal RNA", at positions 26 to 309 of the family's 1533-position model. The record is from RNAcentral.